Molecule: ribosomal RNA, 253 nt
Filed under: uncultured bacterium
Lineage: Bacteria
Description: partial 16S ribosomal RNA
Rfam family: Bacterial small subunit ribosomal RNA
Source: RNAcentral
UACAGAGGUCGCAAGCGUUGUUCGGAUUUACUGGGCGUAAAGGGCGCGUAGGCGGCCGUGUGUGUCAAGUGUGAAAUCUCCGGGCUCAACCCGGAAAGUGCGCUUGAAACUGCACGGCUCGAGUAUGGGAGGGGGAAUCGGAACGCAGGGUGUAGCGGUGAAAUGCGUUGAUAUCCUGCAGAACACCGGAGGCGAAGGCGGAUUCCUUGAACAUCACUGACGCUGAGGCGCGAAAGUCGGGGGAGCAAACAGG